Non-coding RNA from Salvelinus fontinalis (brook trout), 687 nucleotides. NCBI's taxonomy places the organism in Eukaryota, Metazoa, Chordata, Actinopteri, Salmoniformes, Salmonidae. The record is from the annotation of a RefSeq genome assembly.
AUGGGACCCUGGCUGAGUAAUUUACUGAUUCUUGCUGCAUGUUGUUAUGAAUGCAGAGGAAAAGACUCAGUCAUUCAGCCACCAGGAGAUGUGAUUGCUACUGAGGGAGAACAGGUCACACUGGACUGUCAAUUUGAUGCAGUUAAUACUAAUAAUCUCUACCUGUUCUGGUACAAGCAUGAAGUAAAUGACUUCCCAAAGUUCAUGUUGGGCCGUUUUCCUUUUGGAAGUAAAAAUGCCACUGAGUUCAAGGAUAGAUUUGAUGCCCGUCUCGAUGCAGACUCCAAGUCAGUCCCAUUGAUGAUCCAGAGUCUGCAGCUGUCUGACUCUGCUGUGUACUACUGUGCUCUGAAGCCCACUCCAAAAGGAGUUGAGACGGCUACUGAAGGAGGACAAAUAACACUUGUCUGUCAUUAUGAAACAGACGACCCAAGUCCAUAUCUAUUCUGGUACAAACAGCGAGCAAACGACUUCCCCAAGUAUAUGCUUAUGCGGUUCAAUUUUGGAACUGGGGACAAUGCUACUGACUUCAAGGAGAGAUUUCAUGCCGAUCUAGAUGCCAACUCCAAAUCAGUCCCCUUGACGAUCCAGAGGUUGCAGCUGUCUGACUCUGCUGUGUACUACUGUGCUUUGAGGCCCACUAAUGCAGAGGAGAAGACUCAGUCAUUCAGCCACCAGGAGAUGUGA